Molecule: ribosomal RNA, 404 nt
Filed under: uncultured bacterium
Lineage: Bacteria
Description: bacterial SSU rRNA
Rfam family: Bacterial small subunit ribosomal RNA
Source: RNAcentral
UGGGGAAUAUUGGGCAAUGGGCGCAAGCCUGACCCAGCAACGCCGCGUGAAGGAAGAAGGCUUUCGGGUUGUAAACUUCUUUUAUUAAGGACGAAGCAAUGACGGUACUUAAUGAAUAAGCUCCGGCUAACUACGUGCCAGCAGCCGCGGUAAUACGUAGGGAGCAAGCGUUAUCCGGAUUUACUGGGUGUAAAGGGCGUGUAGGCGGGAGUGCAAGUCAGAUGUGAAAACUAUGGGCUCAACCCAUAGCCUGCAUUUGAAACUGUACUUCUUGAGUACUGGAGAGGCAGGCGGAAUUCCGUGUGUAGCGGUGAAAUGCGUAGAUAUACGGAGGAACACCAGUGGCGAAGGCGGCCUGCUGGACAGCAACUGACGCUGAGGCGCGAAAGCGUGGGGAGCAAACA